GCUGGAAUGGUCUAGUUGGUUAUGACGACUGCCUAACACGCAGUAGGCCCCGAGUUCGAUUCUCGGUUCCAGUA
This 74-nucleotide transfer RNA is filed under the name Perkinsus olseni. It matches the Rfam family "tRNA". From Rfam's summary of the family: Transfer RNA (tRNA) molecules are approximately 80 nucleotides in length. Lineage: Eukaryota; Perkinsozoa; Perkinsida; Perkinsidae. The record is from Rfam by way of RNAcentral.